Molecule: ribosomal RNA, 566 nt
Filed under: Paeniglutamicibacter sulfureus
Lineage: Bacteria; Bacillati; Actinomycetota; Actinomycetes; Micrococcales; Micrococcaceae
Description: bacterial SSU rRNA
Rfam family: Bacterial small subunit ribosomal RNA
Source: RNAcentral
CUAACGCAUUAAGUGCCCCGCCUGGGGAGUACGGCCGCAAGGCUAAAACUCAAAGGAAUUGACGGGGGCCCGCACAAGCGGCGGAGCAUGCGGAUUAAUUCGAUGCAACGCGAAGAACCUUACCAAGGCUUGACAUGUGCCAGACCGCCGUGGAAACACGGUUUCCCCUUUGGGGCUGGUUCACAGGUGGUGCAUGGUUGUCGUCAGCUCGUGUCGUGAGAUGUUGGGUUAAGUCCCGCAACGAGCGCAACCCUCGUUCCAUGUUGCCAGCACGUAGUGGUGGGGACUCAUGGGAGACUGCCGGGGUCAACUCGGAGGAAGGUGGGGACGACGUCAAAUCAUCAUGCCCCUUAUGUCUUGGGCUUCACGCAUGCUACAAUGGCCGGUACAAUGGGUUGCGAUACUGUGAGGUGGAGCUAAUCCCAAAAAGCCGGUCUCAGUUCGGAUUGGGGUCUGCAACUCGACCCCAUGAAGUCGGAGUCGCUAGUAAUCGCAGAUCAGCAACGCUGCGGUGAAUACGUUCCCGGGCCUUGUACACACCGCCCGUCAAGUCACGAAAGUUGGUA